This 459-nucleotide ribosomal RNA is filed under the name uncultured bacterium. Its description in RNAcentral is "bacterial SSU rRNA". It matches the Rfam family "Bacterial small subunit ribosomal RNA", at positions 29 to 524 of the family's 1533-position model. The record is from RNAcentral.
AGUGAACGUUGGCGGCGUGGAUUAGGCAUGCAAGUCGAGCGAUCGUAGCAAUACGGGAGCGGCAAACGGGGUAGGAAUACAUCGGAACGUACCUUUUGGUUGAGAAUAGCGUUGGGAAACUGACGGUAAUACUCAAUAAAGUCGAGAGACCAAAGGUUUACUGCCGGAAGAGCGGCCGAUGCGAUAUUAGGUAGUUGGUGGGGUAAUGGCCUACCAAGCCUGAGAUGUCUAGGGGGUGUGAGAGCAUGGCCCCCACCACUGGAACUGAGAUACUGCCCAGACACCUACGGGUGGCUGCAGUCGAGGAUCUUCGUCAAUGGGCGAAAGCCUGAACGAGCGACGCCGCGUGCGGGAUGAAGGCCCUUGGGUUGUAAACCGCUGUCGAGGGGGAUGAAACCGUAAGGUUGACAGAGCCCCAGAGGAAGCACGGGCUAAGUUCGUGCCAGCAGCCGCGGUAAU